GCCCACAUAGCUCAGCAGGUAGAGCACAUCCAUGGUAAGGAUGGGGUCACCAGUUCAAUUCUGGUUGUGGGCUCCA
This 76-nucleotide transfer RNA is filed under the name Candidatus Termititenax persephonae. RNAcentral's name for it is "tRNA-Thr". It matches the Rfam family "tRNA". From Rfam's summary of the family: Transfer RNA (tRNA) molecules are approximately 80 nucleotides in length. Their secondary structure includes four short double-helical elements and three loops (D, anti-codon, and T loops). The record is from RNAcentral. Lineage: Bacteria; Bacillati; Candidatus Margulisiibacteriota; Candidatus Termititenacia; Candidatus Termititenacales; Candidatus Termititenacaceae.